This 439-nucleotide ribosomal RNA is filed under the name uncultured bacterium. RNAcentral's name for it is "bacterial SSU rRNA". It matches the Rfam family "Bacterial small subunit ribosomal RNA", at positions 354 to 796 of the family's 1533-position model. The record is from RNAcentral.
GUGGGGAAUUUUGCGCAAUGGGCGAAAGCCUGACGCAGCAACGCCGCGUGGAGGAUGAAGGUCUUCGGAUCGUAAACUCCUGUCAGUAGGGACGAAUGCCUCGCAAGAGGUUUGACUGUACCUGCUGAGGAAGCCACGGCUAACUCCGUGCCAGCAGCCGCGGUAAUACGGAGGUGGCAAGCGUUGUUCGGAAUUACUGGGCGUAAAGGGCGCGUAGGCGGCAUUGCAAGUCAGAUGUGAAAGCCCCGGGCUUAACUCGGGAAUUGCAUCUGAAACUGCUUUGCUUGAGUCCUGGAGGGGAUAGUGGAAUUCCCAGUGUAGCGGUGAAAUGCGUAGAUAUUGGGAGGAACACCUGCGGCGAAGGCGGCUAUCUGGACAGUGACUGACGCUGAGGCGCGAAAGCUAGGGGAGCGAACGGGAUUAGAAACCCUAGUAGUCC